Molecule: non-coding RNA, 1951 nt
Organism: Zootermopsis nevadensis
Lineage: Eukaryota; Metazoa; Arthropoda; Insecta; Blattodea; Termopsidae
Source: RefSeq, a predicted model, not a curated record
GUACAGAUUUUUAUAUACUUUUAUCUUUUAACACAUUUGAGGGCCAGCGGAUCAGAGUGAGUCAGGUUUCUGUGAUCUUUUUUUGCCAGAAAUAUCCUUUGUCUUAUUAACUAUGCUCCUCUAAGUACCGUCAGCUAUUAUUUCCGAUAUUUUCCAUCUAAAUGUCAUGUAAAAGACGAAAAAUAUUGACAUUGAAGUGAUAUGAUGCCAAGAACACGGGCUGUUGAAGGAUGGAUGGUGUAUUUUUCAAAGUUAAUGACGAUUAAGUUGCAAUUAAUUCCAUUCUGGAUUUUUUUUGUAAUGAUAGUGACAUUGAAUUAGGUGUUAGCAGUGAUAAUAGUAUUAGUGAGAAAAGUGAGGUUAUGAAAUAUAAUAAUAACAAGCUGGUGAGCAUUAAAUAGUUUAAGUAAUCGUAAUUGUUCCUUAGAUGUUUCUCUCUACUUCAGCCUUUAAAUUAUUGGGCUAUGUGAAUUAGUUUAGGACUUAUGACCUGUUUUUUUGUUAAAAAGGGUUUGUCUUGAAACUGGCUUGUCGUCAAAGUGCUAAUUUAGAUUUCAGUGUGUAGGAAUUCGAUAAUAUAUGUUGCACAUGACUGCGUAAAAAUAACGUUUUUUCCCAGUGGGACAAAACUAAUUUAAAACAAUAUUAAAAUCAGCAUAGUUUAUUCAAAAUAUUUCAAAGAGCACUUCUGGGAAGAUAAAACGUUGUGAUACAGGCUUCAACACAUGAUGGCCCACCCUUUUCGAAAUGUCAACAAGUUUACCGACGUUUCAGAGGCCCUUAGGCAGCAAGAACCUCUGAAACGUCGGUAAACUUGUGCCAGAGUACGUGACGCAACAUCCCAGAAGACAAGACAUCUUCGAACAUAAGUAAGUUCGCUCUUGUGAGGACGGAAACAAUCCGGUGAGAGAGAGUGAAUGAACCUAACCUGUAACAGAGGUCAUGUUGGAGAAGGGGAAAUCCCAGGCUUGCCUGAGACGUCUAAUUUCCUUGUCAUGGACAGCUGCUUGGAGAAAAAUAGUGAUGACUUUUACAGUGGGAAUGCGCUCGUGGAAACGUGUGAAUUCUUUUAUUAAUUCUUGUCCAGUGAUUCAAAUGCGAGGAGGUUUACGAGGCCGUUAGAUUGCGUUCGAAAAUGAAAUCUUGCGUGUUCUGAAGGAGCGUAGCUUUCUGACUGGCAGUGAGCAGCCAGUUUUGAAGAAGAAAUGACAUCACGCCAUUAUCGGUCGAGGACAACUGCUGAACUUCCAAAUUUGAACAGUUACUGCAGUGACCUGUAUACAACAGGUCGACAGCGUGAGUCAUUUGCUUGCUGUCUCGGUACGUAACCUUUUCGUCCGAUAUCCGGCCUCCCAGAAGGGUGACCAAGUUUUUAGUUGUUACCGAUUCUGGUGGCCCCAUCGCACGCUUGUGUUUGCGUGUUCGAAUCCCAUUCGGAUGUUUAUUUUCGUAUUUUCCUGCCUCCAUCGCUGGCCUGUGGUGAUAUCGCCUACAUUUCAGUAGUGAAGUUUAUUUAUUGUUGUAUCAUUUAACAGAUUUACCGCCAUUAACGUGUUAUUCUUCAAGCGCGCAAUGACAUUUCCUCCGGUUACGCCGGACUCGACCGGAAACCAAUUCCUCAACCUUGAAAGUUGGAUGCGCCGGAUGUAUGUGAGGUUGGCUCUCGUAUGAGGUAGAGGUUUCGCGUCGCGCAUCCUCCGGCUUACAUCCAUCAAUUUCUGUGCAUCUGUCCGUGUCGCAGUCGACUGAUUAGCAACAGUUUUGGCAGUGUUUACGAGGUCGGAGGUUGAAUAUCGAUCCGGAGACCGGCUGCCUCGAAUAAUAUGUUUCGUGGUUUUCCUCGGUCUCUUUUAAGAUAAUACUAGGAUAGUAGGCCUAACGUAAAUUAGGCCACGACUGUUUUUUACGUAUUAUUUCCAAUUUAUUAUCCAGUAAUUACAAUUUGACGCCA